AUGCUUACCUGGCAGGAGAGAUCCCAUGAUCCCAAAGGUGGUUUUCCCAGGGCGAGGCUUAUCCAUUGCACUCCGGCUAUGCUGACCCCUGUGAUUUUCGCACACGUGGGAAACUCGACUGCGUGAUCUGUGGUUGUGGGGACUGUGCUCGUGCUCUCCCCU
This is a small nuclear RNA of Artibeus jamaicensis (Jamaican fruit-eating bat), 162 nucleotides long. RefSeq annotates it as U1 spliceosomal RNA. The record is from RefSeq and is a predicted model, not a curated record. The transcript has a single exon. Lineage: Eukaryota; Metazoa; Chordata; Mammalia; Chiroptera; Phyllostomidae.